This is a non-coding RNA of Nicotiana tabacum (common tobacco), 323 nucleotides long. The record is from RefSeq and is a predicted model, not a curated record. NCBI's taxonomy places the organism in Eukaryota, Viridiplantae, Streptophyta, Magnoliopsida, Solanales, Solanaceae.
AAAUAAACCUAUUAAAGGACUCAAUUUUAACUUUGAUCCAAAGUUACAGUUAGACUGGUCUCUCCCUGAGCUUCUCUUCAUCACCGAGUCUUCAUCUAUCAUUCUCAGUUUCAGGGUCAUUUGCCAUCCGACAAUUUUUUUUCGAAUUUGUGGUGAGUCUUGGAUUUGACUUUCUGAAUUUCUCCAUAUACGACGGAGUUGUUGGCUCGCUGAACCAAGGCAGAGAAGGAAGUAAUUCAAGAAAGAUGCAGAAGCUGGGCGAAUUCAAGCUGCCUAACUUCUUCAACUAUCCACCUUACUUCACGUAAUUUACUCUUUCCCUU